RNAcentral lists this long non-coding RNA (866 nucleotides) under Olea europaea subsp. europaea. The record is from RNAcentral. Lineage: Eukaryota; Viridiplantae; Streptophyta; Magnoliopsida; Lamiales; Oleaceae.
CUAUGAGGUAGAUGCAUAUUCAGCCUUAUCAACAAAGAUUGACUCACUAUUUCAUAAGGUGGAAAGCAUAUCACAGUCAGUGAAUGCAACAUAUGCAUGGAAACCAAAUUGUGAAGAAUGUGGAGCAAAUCAUAGUAUGGCGGAAUGUCCAAUUCUAUCACAGGAAAUGGAACAAAUAGAGUACGCACAAUGGGGUCAACAUCAACAGAACUAUCAAAAUUCAGACACUUACAAUCCCAGUUAGAAAGAACAUCCAAAUUUCUCAUGGGAUGGUAUCUAAAAUCAGAAUAGAUCCCAGAGACAAUUUUAGCAGGAGAAGACAUUUCAAUUAGAAGAGAUGUCUGCAAAGUUCAUGGAAAAGACAAAAAAAUACAUGGAAGCAAAUAACCAGUUCAUAAGGAAAACUAAAAUUACUCUCCAAAAUCAGGGUGCCGCAAUUAAGAACUUGGAGACGCAGAUGCGACAGAUGGCAUUCACUAUGACGAGAAGGACACCAGAUACUUUACCAAGCAAUACUGAAUUGAAUCCCAGGGAGCAUUUUCAAGUGAUCACAACUCGAAGUGGGAUGCAACUACCCGAAAGAUAUGUUGAGAGGCCGAGUGUAAACAAUUAGACAACACGCUAUACAAAAAUAGAGAUUGUACAGCAAGACGAGCAAACACAUGAAUCCACAAAGGAGAGUUCAGAGAUGUCACGGGAUAAGGCCACCAGUCCAGUUGACCCCUAUGAGCCACCCAUUCCAUUUUUCCAGAGGUUGAGGAAACACAAGAUAGAGCAGCAAUAUAAGAAGUUCUUCGAAAUCUUUAAAAAGCUCCACAUCAACAUCCUGUUUGUCGAUGCACUACUCCAGAUGCCCAGCUAUGCCA